This 97-nucleotide transfer RNA is filed under the name Coriobacteriia bacterium. Its description in RNAcentral is "tRNA-Sec". It matches the Rfam family "Selenocysteine transfer RNA". The record is from RNAcentral. Lineage: Bacteria; Bacillati; Actinomycetota; Coriobacteriia.
GGAGGCGGAUGGCCCCUGGUGGUGCCCCUGGUCUUCAAAACCAGCGUGGGGCGUGAAGAGCGUCCCGGGUGUGUUCGAUUCGCACACGUCUCCGCCA